UACGUAGGGGGCAAGCGUUGUCCGGAUUUAUUGGGCGUAAAGAGCGUGUAGGCGGUCAGAUAGGUCAGCUGUGAAAACUCGAGGCUCAACCUCGAGAUGUCGGCUGAAACCAUCUGGCUAGAGUCCGGAAGAGGAGAAUGGAAUUCCCGGUGUAGCGGUGAAAUGCGCAGAUAUCGGGAAGAACACCCGUGGCGAAGGCGGUUCUCUGGGACGGUACUGACGCUGAGACGCGAAAGCGUGGGGAGCGAACAGG
This 253-nucleotide ribosomal RNA is filed under the name uncultured bacterium. Its description in RNAcentral is "partial 16S ribosomal RNA". It matches the Rfam family "Bacterial small subunit ribosomal RNA", at positions 524 to 776 of the family's 1533-position model. The record is from RNAcentral.